This 301-nucleotide ribosomal RNA is filed under the name uncultured bacterium. Its description in RNAcentral is "partial 16S ribosomal RNA". It matches the Rfam family "Bacterial small subunit ribosomal RNA", at positions 509 to 807 of the family's 1533-position model. The record is from RNAcentral.
CAGCAGCCACGGGAAUACAGAGGAUGCAAGCGUUAUCCGGAAUUACUGGGCGUAAAGCGCACGUAGGCGGCUUCGCAAGUCAGAGGUGGAAGCCUGGAGCUCAACUCCAGAAUUGCCUUUGAGACUGCGUCGCUCGAAUCCGGGAGAGGUGAGUGGAAUUCCGAGUGUAGAGGUGAAAUUCGUAGAUAUUCGGAAGAACACUAGUGGCGAAGGCGGCUCACUGGACCGGCAUUGACGCUGAGGUGCGAAAGCGUGGGGAGCAAACAGGAUUAGAUACCCGAGUAGUCCCUGUCUCUUAUAC